GAAAAAAAAAAGAAAAAAAAAAGAGGACUAAAAGGUAGAGAACCUUCCCCCUGUUGGUCCAAGUAAUAACCUGUGACCUUGACACCAAACUACUUAAUAAACUUGAACACCUACAAAAGUAAGUGUAAACUGUGACUUUCCCUGCCUGAUAACUUUUAGGUGAAAGAGAGGCCAACCAAAAAUAAAAUAUGCCUUCAUGCCAAAAUGCAUAUCACUACAUGUCACCACUUUAUUGUACUGUUUUAUAUCAAUGUAAUUCAUGACCCAAAAAACAUAAAACAUCCUUGACAAACAGUUGUCACCAACACAACAUAAUGACUGAUGGACAUUUUCAAAUUCAGUGCAUAAUACUUGCAGACAUAACUUAUUAUUAUUAUGGCUAUUUUCAAAAUUCUGACAAUAAGAACCUGAAAAAUCUCUCUAGCACACUGCACAUUGAGCAAUAAUUCAAAACUCGAGAUUUUUAUUCUUUCUUCAGUCAAGGGGUUCUUUCAAUCCUUAGUACCAAAGAAAGAAAAAGAAAUAUUUGCAACAAUGCCCUAAAACGCUUCUACAUCACGAAUUAUCAAA
RNAcentral lists this unclassified non-coding RNA (570 nucleotides) under Hevea brasiliensis (rubber tree). Lineage: Eukaryota; Viridiplantae; Streptophyta; Magnoliopsida; Malpighiales; Euphorbiaceae. The record is from RNAcentral.